This 466-nucleotide ribosomal RNA is filed under the name uncultured bacterium. RNAcentral's name for it is "bacterial SSU rRNA". It matches the Rfam family "Bacterial small subunit ribosomal RNA", at positions 338 to 795 of the family's 1533-position model. The record is from RNAcentral.
CCUACGGGCGGCUGCAGUGAGGAAUUAUGCGCAAUGGGGGCAACCCUGACGCUGCGACGCCGCGUGGGUGAUGAAGGUCUUCGGAUCGUAAAACCCUGUCGAGAGGGGCGAAAGAGCGAGGUAUUAACACUAUCUCGCUUUGACGGUACCUCUGGAGGAAGCCCCGGCUAACUCCGUGCCAGCAGCCGCGGUAAUACGGAGGGGGCAAGCGUUGUUCGGAAUUACUGGGCGUAAAGCGCGCGUAGGCGGUUGGGUAAGUCAGAUGUGAAAGCCCCCAGCUCAACUGGGGAACUGCGUCUGAUACUGCUCGGCUUGAGUCCGAUAGGGGAUGGCAGAAUUCCCGGUGUAGCGGUGGAAUGCGUAGAUAUCGGGAGGAAUACCGAUGGCGAAGGCGGCCAUCUGGGUCGGUACUGACGCUGAGGCGCGAAAGCUAGGGGAGCAAACAGGAUUAGAUACCCCUGUAGUC